CCAAAUCACAACAUCAAUACAUGCUUCCACUUCAAAAAUUCAUAACUCAAUGAAAACAAAAAAGAAAUGGAUGAGACCAAAACAGGGAUGUCACAUUAUGUGUCUAUUACAAACAUAUCAAAUUUCAUGACAAUCCAAUACCAUAUGAGCAUUUCUCAUUCAAUCUACCAACCUAUGUCAAACAAGCUUGCACAAUUGACCAACAGAAAUGAAAAAU
RNAcentral lists this long non-coding RNA (217 nucleotides) under Lathyrus oleraceus (garden pea). RNAcentral's name for it is "Pisum sativum (pea) long non-coding RNA (PSAT_LNC025090)". Lineage: Eukaryota; Viridiplantae; Streptophyta; Magnoliopsida; Fabales; Fabaceae. The record is from RNAcentral.